This 15783-nucleotide long non-coding RNA is filed under the name Sarcophilus harrisii (Tasmanian devil). RNAcentral describes it as "lncRNA (ENSSHAG00000021126.1)". Lineage: Eukaryota; Metazoa; Chordata; Mammalia; Dasyuromorphia; Dasyuridae. The record is from RNAcentral.
AGAUGUUUGUUAUCCAGUCUAAGGUUGCAUAAAUCAAAGAUUAAUUCAUUCAGCCAGAUCAUCAUUCAUUAAGCAUUUAUUGAGUACAUACGAUUUACAAGUUAUGCAUAGCCAUUGCCUACCUUAUGUUUACAAUCUAGUUGGGAAAAUGGGAUAUACACACAAAAUAACAUUAGUAGAUAAUAAGAAAGCACUAUAUACUAAUACAAUAAAGUGCUAAAUUAUAUAAUAAAAGCAACUAGAAAAUAACAAUGUCAUAGUAACAAUAAUAGCAUGAAUACAAUGUUUUAUAGUAUAUGAAGCUUUUCCUUCUCUCAAAAUAAUGCUAUAAGAUACAACAGGAUAAUAUAUAAUAAGGUGCUAAUCGUGCAGUACAGGCAUCCUAACAUGAUGUUAGAGAUGCAUCAACAAGGAAACAAUUCUACUCAAAUCAAAAAUUAAACAUUGAUUAAGCAAUAUAGUAGCAUUUAUAUAGCAGAACAAUUUGCUUGGUAGAUUAGACAGAUAGUUCUUUGCCCUCAAGAAGUUUACAAUAAAGAUAUGAUACAAAUGCAAAUAACUAUGAUUUUUUAAAAAGACAGCAAGAAUUGUGAAAGAAGUGAAAACAAAGUGCCAUGUGAGGUACUACGAGGGAAAGAUGUUUUCUCUCAAUUUAACAAACACUGAUUAAGCACCUACUCUGUGCAAUUUAUUAAAUGCCUACUAUGUGCAAUAUUUGAAAGCACCUACUCCGUGCAAUGUUUAUUAUUAAGUACCUACUAUGUGCAAACCAUUAAGCGCAUACUACAUUGCCACAUGCAAAAGCUAGAAAGGAAGGCUUUCUCAACUAUAUUCCAUAUUGAUUAGGCCUUAUUCAGAGGUGAAAAAUUACUUUUUUUGUGUGGGCCUUUAUUUUGAAGAAGCAUGAGAACAUGAGAACAGCACCGGGUUUGUUUGUUUGUUUGUUUUAAAAGAUGAUGGGCCUUGUUUAGUCUGGAGAAGAAAAUGCUGAGGAAUAAUUUGUUCUUGAAAUUGAAAUUUAGGAAGAUGUAUUUCACAAAUCUACAUCUCCAUUUUGAAGAAGAAUAUGAAGGGAACUGGUUUGAGGAUAUUUAGAACAAAAAACAAUGUUAUCAACAAUUAAGUUUGUAAAACAUUGUGAAAAAAGUUUUUCCGAGAGGUUAUAAGGCCUCUUGCCCAAUAAGAUGAAAAAGGACUGGGAUGGUUUAGAUGCUGUCUUCUCCUGAAGUAGGACUAUUUAACAUAGCUGAGCUCAUAGAACUUAGAUCUCGGGAAACUUCAGUUGAACAUUGACAUGCCAAAGUCUCCCAAUUCCAUUUUUCUAGGCUCCCAAUGAAAUGAAUAGUCCCAAAGCAUUCGUUUAUGCCAGUCCAACAAAAUUUUGGAAUUCUCAACACUUGAAUUUUGUCAUCUGUAAAAUGGGGGAGUAUCAAAAAUAAUUCCUGUUAAAUUGAAUUAGGUGAGGUAAAUAUACUUUGUAGCAAAGAAAUGGAAACAACCCACCCAUGCUCGUGAAUCUAAAAAUAUGGCAAAACAAAUCAGUGUUAAUACUAUGCUAAUAAAAUUGAACUAAAACAAAGGUUGCAUUGUGUUGAAAUAAAAGAUGUAUUAUAUCCGGGGAAAAAAUGACUAUAAAGAUGAACACCAUUUAAAGAUUUAUAUGAGAUAAAUACAGGUGAAUUUAGCAGAAGUUUGGGGAAAUGAAAAGAUGGGAGGAAAAAAACAAAAGAUAAACCUGAAUUAAGAUAAUUGAAAACAACAAAAACAAUUCUAGAGGUGAAAGAAUGAAAUAUGCCUCCAAUAUUGUCAUAAGAGAAUGAGGAACUUGUGAGGCUAUUGGAAUUACUGUAACAUUUGAAACAGAUUGUACAAUUUUAACUACUAUUACUACAAAUCAGAUAUUUUUUAUUACUCAAAAAGGAAAAUGAAAAAGAAAAUAGAUAAAUAUUUGAACUAUUCAAAAUUGCUUUUCUUUUCUUUUUUCUUUUUCUUUUUUUUGGAAACAAAGCGGUUUUAAUCACUUGCCCACAGUCACAGAUCUGGUAAGAUCAGCCACAUUGGGACACAGAUUCUCCCGAGUCCUAGGGACUGGUUCUAUGCCAAAACAAUGCAAAUUUUAAAAAAUAUUUGUUAAGCAUUUAUCAUCAACCUGAUCAUUUUAACCAAUGAGUAAGGCAGUGACAUAAAAUUAGAAAGUUAACAGCUUAUUAUAUUUAAGUAUGAAAAGGCAUGGUUCAAUGGGACUAAAAGAAAAAGGCCAAAUUAUAAGAAUGAGAUAAUAGAUAAAUGCCAGAAACUUCAAACAACAAUCAAAAUUAAUGAAGAAAAAAGAGUAAUUAAAGGAAGUAACAUUUAGUGGAAAAUAUCAUAAUGAAAAAUUAAUUCAUAACCUUAAAAAGAUAGGCAACACAAAAAUUUGCUUGAAAAAUGAAGUUGCAAUGAAAGAACUUAGGUAACAGUGAGUUUCCUUCUUAAAGGGUAUCAGGAAAGAGCAACUUCCAUUAGCCUUCAACCCAGUGCUCCUUCACCCUUGCCCUGAGUAAAAAGGAUGCCCUGAGUAACCAACUAUUGGAAAGAAAUCAGGAAUCCUGCCACUGGGAAAUGGCUGACCAAUCUAUAGCCAUACACUGCUGAAAUAGAAAACAUGUCUCCAACACUGGGCUGCAAGGUGAGACAUUACGGGUACAUGGUGGUAUUUAUCCUGUCAGACAGGGUUCCCUUUUCAAUGACUAUUGGAAGAGUGAAUUUCCUUUGCUAUGGGGCUAGGUCAAGAAAUAUCACACAUGGGGCAGAGAACCCUGUAGAGUCCUUGAUGAUAAUGGCAUGGAAGCCCCAUGUAACAGAGAAGUGGGUACAAAUCUGAGGGCCCUAUAGGUGAAGAAUGGCUGACAAGACUUUAUCUCUGCUCUGAGUAUUAUGUGAUUGGAGCAAAAGAGCAACAAGACUAUUGCAUGAGGUAUUGGAGUAUGCAAGAGGAUAGUGAGAUAGCUGAUUAGCAAGUAUCCCUGCUGCUCCAGGUGGGCAGAGAGGUUUACAGGUACAAUGUGGCACCUUCCCCAGCAAUGAAAGGUGGUUUGUGGUUGCAGUGAGUCUACUUGGCUACAGGGUCCCAAAAAGGAACAAUAUCCAUUGGCCUGCAAUACAAUGCUCCUUCAGCUUUGCCCUUGGUGGAAAGAAUGCUCUGAUUGGCCAAGUAUUAGAAAGAAACCAGGGGCCCUGCCUCUGGGAAGUGGCUGUCAACCUACAGCCAUAUAAAACUGAAAUCCUGGCCACUGACCAAUAGAAAGGAAAGACCUGCCCUCUGACUGAAUAUCAAGACCCUCCUUGGUCUCAGAGAGCAAGAUAGCUUGUUGGGCCCCAUCUCUGGGGUCAGAGUGGGGCCCUCUGGGUGAACUGCUGCUUCCCCUGGCAGACCAGGGCAGCAUGGAACUGACUGGUGACCCAACGUCUGGUUUUUUACUGUGGAGCAAAUGCCAGGAGGACUGACAUGAAGCUGGGGUAUGAUGCUCAUUCUAACUUGGUCCCACUGUAAGGCCAGUUCUUACUAGCAAUGGCAAACAAACAGGGACAACCUUCCUAUGGAGAAUAGCAGAUGAAUCCUUAAUCAUACACUGGCAGAAGGCUUGGAAUAGAAAUGCUGAGAAAAGUCUUUUCCUCUAAGUAGAAAUCAUGACCCUGUUUGGUCUCCAGAGAAUAAGUGAGUUUGCAAACCUCAGUGCUUAGGGGUGAGUAUCUAUGAAUGAAAAGGGAUAACUCCCAAGGCAGAGAGGCUCCCAUUUGAACUGGCUCUGCAUUAAGUGAUUUUAAGAUCUAGAAGGCCUAGGAAAGGAGCAAAAGAGGUGGGGGUGGUAUUCCAUAUACAUUAAACCUGAAAGCCAGUAGACUAGAAGCCCUUCCUGCCAGAGAAUGGGUAGGAAAUAGAAACAAGGCCUUUAUCUGUGAUUGGAAGGGCUAACAAAUGAGGGUCUAUGCAGUGGAUUUUGUUUCUCUCUCACUGUGUCUCUUCAAGCUCCAUAGCUGUACCCCUGGGCUGUGAGGUGAGGCACUACGGUGCAUGAUGGAGUUUACCCUGGAACACAGGGUUACCUUGUUGGAUGGCUGUGGAAAUAGUGAAUUUUCUUUGCCAUGGGACUGUCACCGACAAUAUUCCACAUGGCCAAGGAAACCAUAUGGAAUUCCCCUUGAUUAUGGUGGCAUGUAAGCCCCAUAUUACAAAGAAGUGGCUACAAACUGGGGACCCUACAGGAGAAAAAUAAAUGAGAAACCUUUAUCAGUACACUGAGGGACAGAGUAGGAGGCCAAUGAACAGUUUAAGAAAGCCUGCACAGAAAUUAAAAUGGAGAAGAGGAUAUUAGAAAAGGGGGCAAAAGUCAAGUCCCCAUACCUGGGCUAUGAGGUGAGGCAGUCUGGUGUAUCAUAGUAUUUACCCUGGCAGUCAAGGUAACCUUUUUGGAUCAUUGUGGGAAUCGUGCAUUUCUUUGCAAUAGGACUUGGACCAAUAGGAUUCCACAUGGGGCAGAGAACCAUGUGGAAUACCCAUUGGUAAGGAUGGGAUAUCAAGUCCAUAAACCAAAGAAGUAUUACAAACCUGGAACCCUAUGGGGCACAUAUUUAGCCUAUACUGAGGGGAUAGUGUUGGGGACCAAUGUACAGUGUAAGAAAGCCUGUGCAGAAAUCAAGUGCAAGAAUAGUAUAUUAGAAAAGAGAACUAAAGUCAAGUCCCCACCCCUGGGCUGCAAGGUGAGGCACUACAGGUGCAUGAUGGUGUUUACCCUGGGAGACAGGGAAACCUUUUUGGAUCACUGUGGGAAAUGGGCAUUUUCUUUGCUAUGGGACUUGAACCAAUAGGAUUCCACAUGGGGCAGACAACCAUGUGGAAUCCCAAUUAGUAAAGGUGGGAUGUCAACUCCUUAUAACAAAGAAGUGGUUCCAAACUGAGAGCCUAUGGGUGAGAAUGAAUAAGAAACAUUGAGAACAUGCUGAGGGGAUAUUGUUAGAAAACAAUGAACAGAGUAAGAAAGACUGUGCAGAAAUCAAAAGUGAAAACAGGAUAUUAGAAAAGAGAGGUAAAGUCAAGACCCCAUUCCUGGGCUGCGAGGUGAGGCACUACAGAUGUAUCAUGGCAGUCAGGGUAAACUUUUUGGAUCACUAUGGGAAUUGUGCAUUUUCUUUACUAUGGGACUUGGACCAAUAAGAUUCCACAUGGGGCAGAGAACCGUGUGGAAUCCCCAUUGGUAAAGGUGGAAUGUCAAGACUAUAUAAGAAAGAAGUGGUUACAACCAGACCUAUGGGUGAGAAUGAAUGAGAAAUAUUUAGACCACACUGAGGGGCUAAUGUGGAGGUCCAAUGUACAGAAUAAGAAAAAACUUGCAGAAAUCAAGUGGAAGAAAAGCAUAUUAGAAAAGGGAGCUAAAAUGAAGACUCCAUCCCUGGGCUACAAAGUGAGGCACUACAGGUGCAUGAUGGUGUUUACCCUGGAGCACAGGGUUACCUUAUUGGAUGACUGUGGGAAGAGUGAAUUUUCUGUGCCAUAGGGCUGGCUCAAGGAUCAUCACACAUGGGGCAGACAACCAUGUGGAAUACCCCUGAGUACUGUUGGUAUGUCCAACCCAUAUAACAAAGAAGUGGUUACAAACCGGGGGCCCUACGGGAGAAAAAUGAAUGAGAACCCAUUAUCAGGAUACUGAGGGAACAGGGUUGGAAACCAAUGGACAUUUGAAGAAAGCCUAUGCAGAAAUCAAGAGAUAGAAUAGGAUAUUAGAAAAAGGAGCAAAAGUCAAGACCCCACCCCUGGGCUGCGAGGUGAGGCACUACAGGUGCAUGAUGGUGUUUACCCUGGAGCACAGGGUUACCUUAUUGGAUGACUGUGGGAAGAGUGAAUUUUCUGUGCCAUAGGGCUGGCUCAAGGAUCAUCACACAUGGGGCAGACAACCAUGUGGAAUACCCCUGAGUACUGUUGGUAUGUCGAACCCAUAUAACAAAGAAGUGGUUACAAACCGGGGGCCCUACGGGAGAAAAAUGAAUGAGAACCCAUUAUCAGGAUACUGAGGGAACAGGGUUGGAAACCAAUGGACAUUUGAAGAAAGCCUAUGCAGAAAUCAAGAGAUAGAAUAGGAUAUUAGAAAAAGGAGCAAAAGUCAAGACCCCACCCCUGGGCUGCGAGGUGAGGCACUACAGGUGCAUGAUGGUGUUUACCCUGGAGCACAGGGUUACCUUAUUGGAUGACUGUGGGAAGAGUGAAUUUUCUGUGCCAUAGGGCUGGCUCAAGGAUCAUCACACAUGGGGCAGACAACCAUGUGGAAUACCCCUGAGUACUGUUGGUAUGUCGAACCCAUAUAACAAAGAAGUGGUUACAAACCGGGGGCCCUACGGGAGAAAAAUGAAUGAGAACCCAUUAUCAGGAUACUGAGGGAACAGGGUUGGAAACCAAUGGACAUUUGAAGAAAGCCUAUGCAGAAAUCAAGAGAUAGAAUAGGAUAUUAGAAAAAGGAGCAAAAGUCAAGACCCCACCCCUGGGCUGCGAGGUGAGGCACUACAGGGGCAUGAUGGUGUUUACCCUGGAGCACAGGGUUACCUUAUUGGAUGACUGUGGGAAGAGUGAAUUUUCUGUGCCAUAGGGCUGGCUCAAGGAUCAUCACACAUGGGGCAGACAACCAUGUGGAAUACCCUUGAGUACUGUUGGUAUGUCAAACCCAUAUAACAAAGAAGUGGUUACAAACCGGGGGCCCUACAGUUGGAGAAUGAAUGAGAAACCUUUACAGGACUCUGAGGGUAAGGUGUUGGAUGCAAUAAACAAUAAGAAAGCCUUUGCUGUUACAAACCAUACAGGGAAUAGCCAAGAUAUUUGAAAAUUGAGAAGAAAGCAAGACCCCACCCCUGGGCUGCGAGGUGAGGCACUACAGGUGCAUGAUGGUGUUUACCCUGGAGCACAGGGUUACCUUAUUGGAUGACUGUGGGAAGAGUGAAUUUUCUGUGCCAUAGGGCUGGCUCAAGGAUCAUCACACAUGGGGCAGACAACCAUGUGGAAUACCCCUGAGUACUGUUGGUAUGUCGAACCCAUAUAACAAAGAAGUGGUUACAAACCGGGGGCCCUACGGGAGAAAAAUGAAUGAGAACCCAUUAUCAGGAUACUGAGGGAACAGGGUUGGAAACCAAUGGACAUUUGAAGAAAGCCUAUGCAGAAAUCAAGAGAUAGAAUAGGAUAUUAGAAAAAGGAGCAAAAGUCAAGACCCCACCCCUGGGCUGCGAGGUGAGGCACUACAGGUGCAUGAUGGUGUUUACCCUAGAGUACAGGGUUACCUUAUUGGAUGACUGUGGGAAGAGUGAAUUUUCUGUGCCAUAGGGCUGGCUCAAGGAUCAUCACACAUCGGGCAGAGAACAAUGUGGAAUACCCCUGAGUACUGUUGGUAUGUUGAACCCAUAUAACAAAGAAGUGGUUACAAACUGGGAGUCCUACAGGUGGAGAAUGAAUGAGAAAUCUUUACAGGACACUGGGUGUAAAGUGUUGGAUGCUAAUAAGCAUAAUAAUAAAGCCUGUUUUGCUUGAAACCAUACAGGGAAUAGCAAAGAUGCUUGAAAAUUGAGAAGAAAUAAAGACCUUACCUCUGGGCUGUGAAGUGAUGCAUUGUGGGAUGCCUGAUGGACUUUAUCAUGAUAGCAUUCCUUUUUGGAUGACUGUUGGAAUAGUGAAUUUUCUUUCCUAUUAGGCUGAAACCAGUAGCAUUCCACAUGGGACAGACAACCAUGUAGACUCUCCCUUUAUCCUGUUAAAAUGCAAGGCUCUGCCUUCAAGAAGUAAAUUAGUGACUGGUGUUGAAAAAUGGCUGAGAAACCUUUGUACUCUGAGGAUUAAGUGAUUAGGGCAAAAGAACAACAAAAGUUAUUGUUGAGGUAUUACAAUAUGUUAUAUAAAUAGCUAAUUAGAAUCCCUGCAGUCCCAGCUGAGCAGAGAGAUAGGGGAGUCUAGAUGCAGUGUGGCACCUUUUUUCAGAAAUCUCAUGUGGUUUGGGGUUGCAGUGAGUCUUCUUGGCUACAGGGUCUCAACAAGGAGCUACUUCCCUUGAUCUACAAUUCAGUGCUCCUUCACCCUUGCCCUGGAUGGAAAGGAUGCUCUGAUUGGCCAAGUAUUAGAAAGAAACCAGGGGCCCUGCCUCUGGGAAGUAGCUGUCAACCUAUAGUCAUAUAGUGCUGAAAUCCUGGUCACUGACCAAUAGAAAGGAAAGACCUGCCCUCUGACUGAAUAUCAAGACCCUCCUUGGUCUCAGAGAGCAAGAUAGCUUGUUGGGCCCCAUCUCUGGGGUCAGAGUGGGGCCCUCUGGGUGAACUGCUGCUUCCCCUGGCAGACCAGGGCAGCAUGGAACUGACUGGUGGUGACUCAAUGUCUGGUCUUUGCUAUGGGGCCAAUGCCAGGAGGACUGACAUGGAGUUGAGGCACCAUAUUCAUUUUUCUCUGGGUUAAUUGGAUUUUAAUAGAAAGCCCAGAUAAGGAGCAGAGGUGUUGGAGGUGAUUUCUGAUGGCCAUUCGACCUGCAUGCCUUUAGAAUGGAAGCUCUCCAUUCCCAAGAAUGGGUACAUAACCUACCUAUUUUCUUUUCUGUGAUUGGAAUUGCUAACCAACCAGGGUCUGUGCAGAGAAUUUUGUUUCUGUCUGCAUGUGGAGAGGUGGAAAUGUUGUUUAUGCUGUGUGUGUGUGUGCUAGAGAGAGAGAUAGAGAGAGAGAGACAGAGACAGACAGAGAGAGAUAGAGAGACAGAGACAGAGGAGAGGAGAGGAGAGAAGAGGAGAGGAGAGGAGAGAAGAAAGAUGGAAAGGGGGAGAGAGAGAGAAAGAGACAGAGGAAGAGAGAGACAGAGACAGAGAGACAAAGACAGACAGAGAGACAAAGAGAUUCCCAUAGAUAGGCAUAGGGACAGAGCCAGAAAGAAUGAGAGACAGAAAGACAGAGAGAGACAGAGACAGAAAGAGGGGAAAGAGACAGACACAGACAGAAGGAGAGAGAGUUAGAGACAAGAGACAGAGAGAGCAUUAAGUAUAGAGGAAUGAUACCUGAAAACUAAAACUACUCUUUUUAGCCUGAGAUUGUGUGAACAUUAAGUGUAAAAUAAUCUUUAGAAGAAAACAUGCCUUUAAUCCCAGACUAAGAGGGACCCUGGGUACUCUUAAAUACAGGCUUCCCUUUUAUCUGGCUCUUUGAAAAGUGGAUUUUCUUUGGUAGAGGGCUUCCUCAAAGAGCACCAAAUAUGAAAACCGACUGCAGUAUUGUUUGGCUCUUCAUUCAGGCAAAAUGGAAGCCCUGUUUUACAACAAUACCGAAAGAAACCAGGGGCCCUGCAUAUGGAGAUUUAUCUCUACUCUGAGGAUUCUGUAAUAUGGAUAAAAGAGCAAAAGGCAUGGGGUUCUGCCUGAGUCAUUAGCGUGACCAGUAGUAGCACAUAGAGACAGCUGAUUAGGAUAGCUUCUGCCCCCAGCUGAGCAGAAUGGUAGGGGUAUCCCAAAUGCAGUGAUGUUGCACCUCCCCUUGUAUUUUCUCCUUUAAUUUCCAUGGAAUGGAAGAUCAUUACAUGAAGAAAUGGAAAGAAACUCUUGGAUAAUUUGAGGUAGAAUGACUGAGAAACCUUCGUCUCUAUAUUGACGAGUGAGUCAUAGAGGUAGGAGAGUUUUUAGAGGAAGCCUUUAAAUGAUAUAUUAAAGUUAGUAAUAUGGUAGUGAAGGAAGUGUUUAGUAUACCUGCUUCCUGGUUCUUGCUUUAUUUGUGGGCGACAUGAGGUUCAAUAAAGCUUACCCUUUAAAACAGGGUUACUGUUCCCCUUGUUAUUUUUGAAGUGCAUUUUAUUAGCUAGAGAAUUAAUUCAAGGUACAUUAUAUAUGAAUUCAGCCUUUUUUUCAUUUUUUCUUGAACUAGACUUAAUAGAAUACCCUCAGUAUUAAGGAGACAAAUUCUCUCUAUUGACUUACUAUGUUUAUUUUUGUUUGAUAAAUAUUACUAGGGGUGGGAUAUUUCAUUGUUUUUAAUUAUCAAUAUGGUUUUCUGUGAAUAAAUCAGGAAUUACUUUUUCUUCUGUGUCCAGAGAGCUAAGACAGUAUGAAUCCAAAUAAUGUCUGCUCUUUCAGACAUGGUCACUUUUUGCUUAGUUGCGGAUUAAUUUUUUUCUCUUUUAUUCAUGUUCAAGGUGUCUCUAGCAUAAAAUGUAGACAACCAUGCUCAUUUUACUUUUUUAUAUCAUAAUUAAAACAAUAGCUAUCCUCAUUGUGGAAUGGAGCUGAAGGUCCUACAACUGAAUAAUUCUCAGUAGCCAAUUUUUAUUGUCUCCACAGUGGUUGCUUAAGGAAAGGAAAAAACAGCUUUCUAUGUAAGUAAUGAUAACGACCUCUAGUUACCAAAAGAGUAACCUAUUUGUAUGUUAUAGAACAAGUCAAAAGUAGCAAGGAUUCCUCCUUUAAAAUGACAACUGGGUUUCGGUAAUUUUAAAUUUUGGUGCCUAUUCACUCAUAUGGGUUCCCUUUACUUAUAAUCUUUUCUCAUACCUUUUUUUUAUUUUAAUUUUAAUUUUUUUGCUAAAGGAUUGGUUUGUGUUGAUACUUGUAUGGUACCCAUGCUCCUCCUGCCUGAAUCAAGUUAUUAUUAAUAUAUCCUCAGUCUUAGAAGUUGAAACAAAUCAAUAAGCCUUUCAGAUGAGGUAUGAUUGACAGAUUUUUGACCAUAUACUGACUAGUAUUGAAAAGGAAAAAAGAAUGAAGAAUUCCUUAUCUGUAUAUUUACAAAGAACAAUUUAGAUUCUAAAAAGUAAAUUACAAAACAUGGUAUCUUCUCUGUUGAGAGUCAGGUGGAUUUUGGUUCACUUUUUUCCUAAAACUAGUGUCAGUUCAGUGAAUAUAGUAAAUAUGUAAAGGAAGAAGACAUUUUGAGGAAGCCUUUCUCUAUGAUUAUAACUUAAUAUUACUUUAUAAGAAGAAUAUGUAAAGGUCAGGAAUUUUGAGAAUCCCUAAAAGAUUUUUAAUAAAUUUAUAUGAAGAAAAUUAGUCUAAAAUAAAAAUAUAUUUACCACUUAAAGUAAUGUAUAAGUAAAAAGAAGGUAAAUGCUGAAUAAUUUUCAGGACCAUCCCCCCCACAAUAGGUAUUGAACCAUGCCUUUCUCUUUUGGUCUUAGAGUUUGGGCUCUACAAUUUCAUUCUUUUUACAUUCGUUGCCUGACAGGGUCACCCUUUGGGUUGUUGUUGCUUCAGUUUUUCUUUGCUACAAGGCAUGUUCAUGGUGGAUUUCCAGUGGGGACGACCAUACCUGCUCUUUCUACCUUUUUAUAGGUGCUGUCAAUAUACUUUGUAGUAAAGAAUUGGAACAACCCGGGUGCCUUCCCCUAGAGGAAUGGGUGAGUAAAUCAUGUCCUCACGUACGAACGUAACAUAUUAUUGUACAGGAAUAAAGAAUUAAUAUUAGGAAAUGAAGAAACAUUUAAAGACUUCUUUGAAUUUAUGAGUGAAGUAAGCUCAAUCUGGAGCAGAUUAUAUACAAUGACUACAAUUAUCUAAGUGAAAAAAAAAACAAACAUUAAAAAGAAGAUAACUUCUAGCUAACUGUAAUGACCUGUUUUGAUUAUAGAAAGCAGGUAAUGCAUUCUGCUUCCCCUCCUUGGGAUGAGAGAUUUGAAUGUAUGGCCACACAUUAUUACUUACAUUAUUAGCCAGGGUGACCUUGGAGUUGGUAAUGCCUAACCAUUUUUGUUUACGACAAGGCAGAUUUAGUGUGGAACUGCAACGUUCUGAUCAUAUCUUUUCACCUAAUAAGGCAGUUAUAUAUUUUUUAUCAAAGAACUGAAAAUAAACUAGGUGCCCUUCACUCAGGGAAUGACUGAAUAAAAUGUUUUUCAGUACCCAUGUAAUAUAUUAUUAUGUCAUUUGAAAGGACAUGUGAGGAAUUCAGAGAAAUAUGAGAAGGCCUAUAUAAACUGAUGCAACAAGCAAGCAUAUUCAAGAGAAUAAUAUAUAUACAUAUAAAAGUAUAUACAAUAAAUGAAAAGAAUGAAAAAAGGAACCCAAACUCUGCAUAUAGUUAGAAUGACUCUUCUUGGUUCCAAAGACCAGAUAAUGAAAUGUGCCUUCUUCUCUUGGCUGAAAUUUGGGCAACUAUGGGUACAGCAUGUUGCAUUCCCUCUCUGAGUCACCAAAUUAGUGGCUACUGUUUGUUUUUCUUUGUUACAAUGAAUUGUUUGAUGCUAAAACAGAACAAGAUUGACUAUUCCUGCUUCUUCUACCUUGAAGUAGGUGUUGCUCAUAGGCAUGAGCUUGAUGCAUUCCCUGGAUGAAAGAAACUGAAUACAAGUUGCAAUACUAUUGGUACAUACAACAAAACCCCUAUAUAAUGCUGGUGUUAUAAAGGAAGGAUAGGCUAAAACCAACAGUAUAAAGGUAAGAGGGCACCAAGCUAAUAUUUAAGUUCUAUACUACCAUAUUCAGCCAGAUUUUUGCCCAUUUCUGGUGUUAGGAGACAUGGUUUGAUUUGCAAUUUUUAAAAUAAUGAGCUCUUGUAUAAUGGGUUCUGUCCUUGUUGCAAUCAUCAGAUUGCCUUUCAGGGCCAGAGAAGGGCCCUUUUCUGGCUAGGAGAACUUCCUGUUCCUCCCUCUGAUCCCCUGCCACUCAUACCCCUAGCCUAAGAAAUCUUGCUGCCUUUGCAGCCACCUGGAAAGUCACACAUGCUGGUGUCACAAUAUUCCCAAAGAAGGGCAAGAAUCAAGUCUCUAAUUGCAGAGGCUUGGUUACGGGAGCCUUGGGUCACAUUCCAGCCAGUGCCUUUUCAAGCACAGCCUCUGAACAAAUUGGAAAGUCCUUCCAAAAAAGAGCUCAACCAGGGAAGAGUGAGCAAAGAGGAGGAGGGAAGAGGGAGAAAGGGAGAUCUCCAGCUGUCAGCAGUCAGACAGCAGUGGCAAGCUUGGUGCCGCUGGAGAGAUUUUUUUUUUAAUCUCCCUACAAAGUGAUCCCCUUCCAUUAUGCUGAAAUCUAAGAAAAGCCCUUUGCCCAUGGACUUUCCUUUCUAUUAUGGCCCAGCUUUGCCCCUCACACCUCCUAAAUGCUGGAACAUAUCACAGAAUAUUCUGAAAUAUGUCCCUUAUUAUAAAAUCUGAGACUCUCAGGCCAGACUCUUGUGCAGUGCCAUGGGUCUGUUUUACAAGAAGCAUCUUACAAAAUUUCCCACAGCAAUUCUCUAAAGACCCACUUCUAAGUUUAUAUAAGGGUUAUAACAUUUGUUGGGAAUACCCACAAUAUACUUGAAGUGUUUAAGUAAAGACUUAGAUAUGGGAAGGACUUUUGAAAUGAUCUUAUCCGUCCUCCCACUCUAUCAUAUUGCUGAGGGAUGGGUGGAUGGAGGGGGAGCUUCUCUGAGCCUCUGUUUGAAUGCUUAGUGUCAGAAAGCUCACACUCCCUUCUGAGGCUUACUGAUCCAUUGCAGGACAAGAUCAUUGUUGCUUCUUGUACUAGUCAACAAUUUUUCUCCCUGUGACUUCCACAGAAUGGCACACAGUUACACGGCAUAAUCUUCCCCAAAAUCAUUUUCUCUCCAUUGUUCAUUCCUCUCUAGCUACCAAGGAAGGAAUUAAUCCCAAAGGGGAAUACAGUUCAGCAAUGUCAAAAAUUCUAAAGGCUGAAGUGUUUAUGACUUCCCUAAGGUCUAGAAGAAAGCAUUUUACUUUUAGGACCUUAACCAAAGAAAUACUAACCCAGCCUUAAAAAAUAAUAACAAUAAGUACCAACCCAAGAGAACUAUGUUUCUAGCCCAAUACUAGACUACAUUCACCCUGGGAGCUACAAAGACAUAUAAAGCACAUUCCCGGCCCUCAACACAACCUCAAGCUCACCAUUUGGCAAGGGAGCCCAGGCUCAAACAUAGAUUAAGCUGAGUAACAAUAUAAGACAACAACAGAAGAACACUCACUGGACAAUAUAUGAUGUGAGUGCCAACUAAACAAUACAGUACAAACAAAUGCUGUUUGAGUUCACAAGAGGGAGAGGUCCCCUGAAACUGUAGAAUCAGGGAAGGCUUCAUGGAGAAUGUUGGGCUUAAGUUGAGCCUUUGAAAGAUGACAGGGUUCAAGUCUCAUCUCCUCUGUGAAGCUCAAUUCAAAUGUCCCUCUUCAGAAGUCUCACUGUGGUGUGGAGAAGGUGACUGGGAAUCCUUGAAGUCUGUGCUUCGGGGGUAGGGGAACAAGCUUUGCCAGGACGGGCCAAGGAUGGACCGUUGCAUGAGGAUCAGCCAAGCUAAGUUCAUAAAGACUUAGGGCCAGGUCGGCCUCAUGGAGAUGAAAGUUUUUGGAAACAAUACCCCUCAAAGAACAUCGGCUAAGCCACAGAGGGAAUUAAAAUCUGUCUCAGUGGAAGGAGUUCCCACACCAGUAAAACUACAGAUCCUUGAAGUGUUGAAUCAUUUGAAAGAUGGGAGAUGGGGUUGGAAAAGGUAGUAUGGCACUAGAAUGUAGCCACCAGCCUAAGGAAUCUGGAAUUGAUGCUAUUAGGAACAGGGAACCCCUGGAAAGUCUUUGAACAGGGAAGUGACAUAACAAAUGAAAUCAGUAGUCUAGUGACAGCUCUGGCAUAAUCCCUCCCUCUCCCUGAGCAACCGACUCUUUAACAGGCUUCACUCAGCCAUCCUAAGAGGGAGUUCAGCCUACAGUGUCUGUGGCUCCAUAACCCCUUCAGGAGCAUACCUGGAGCCACUCGGAGCCAAUGCUCCGUUAGGCACAAUGGUUUCUAGGAGCCAAUGCCCCAUUAAGCACAAUCGUUUAUAGGAGCCAAUGCCCCAUUAAGUACAAUGGUUUCCAGGAGCCAAUGCUCCAUUGAGGAAAAUGGUCUUGGGCCAAAAAAUAGGGUGUGGCUCUCUGGAGAGACCACAUUGCUCCAUGGUUCUUAUUAUUUUCCCUGCCUGGCAGCUCUCUGAGCCCAGAGUAUCAGUUAUUCCAAAGCUGCUCACACAGUUUGGACAAAAUGAUCUCUCUCUGUUUUUUCCUCCCUAGAAAUGCCAGGAAAUCAAAUGCUUUAGAUCAAGGUACAUGUAUUAUUUGCAAGCCUUGGGAUGCUUGCUUCUACAAUGUAGCUAAUUAGUAGAACAGGAGCUCAGGCCAGUUUGCCCUCAAGGCCUCAGUUUCACCAGCUGCAAAUUUACAAAGUAGGACCAGAAUAUCUCUAAGGUCCCUUCAAAAGAAUCUUGGACUUGAAAUCAGCAGACUGAGUUCAAAUCUCAUCUUUGCCUCUCUUGUGAUUUUAGGCAAGUACUUCCCAAGAUGAAUUCUCCAUCUGUUGUGAGAAGGAGGACUGGAUAGUCUUUUAAGAACAACAGAAAGUUCUCUAACUCUGAGGUGUGAUGACCCUAUUUCAGGCCAUAUUCUCCUGAGGGGGUACAGAAAUCAUCCCUCAUAUUGUCAGGGUAGAAAUCAUCUGCUAAGUUUUUGUAGGAUUGUAGGGAUGCUUCCCCAAAUCCCCCUUAUAUUUCUUGUCCUCCUUUUGAUCUUCUCUCAAGACCCCAGAUGAGCUAAGGCUAUGUACACUAGGUACUGAUUAACACAACGAAGGGGUUUUACAGCAGAGUAUUUGACCGACCUUUGUAACCAUCUUUGAAGAAUAUUCUUCCAAUUGGGCUUCUGCUUCCAUUUCCGCUUCCGCUUCUUUUUCCUCUUUCUUUUUCUUUUUCUUUUACGCAUCCUGAUCUGGAUGAUCUGGUCUCUCUCACAUUGUUGACUUGCUUCUGGUCCUGAAAGGAAAAGGACAAAAUCAUCAAAGCAAAGUCUAACUGCUUUUCUU